Molecule: non-coding RNA, 23 nt
Filed under: Cricetulus griseus (Chinese hamster)
Lineage: Eukaryota; Metazoa; Chordata; Mammalia; Rodentia; Cricetidae
Source: RNAcentral
GCCGGAACAAGACACCAGUACCC